AGAACCCUGCUUGAUAAGGCUCUAACCAAGCCAUCAAUAGCGAGUCUUGGUCUCAGUUGAGUAAUCAACUGGGUUAAGCGUAGACAGUUAGGUCGUAGGCCUGAAAGUGAUUGAGCCUCGUAAAUAGUUAAAACGGGGAGGUUGACGGUGUCGAAAGACUGGAAAACGAUACGCCGUAUGUCGUUAUCGGUGAGGUAUACGGAGCUCCCUCGGGGUCGGAGAGCC
This 225-nucleotide non-coding RNA is filed under the name Natribacillus halophilus. Lineage: Bacteria; Bacillati; Bacillota; Bacilli; Caryophanales; Bacillaceae. The record is from RNAcentral.